Molecule: ribosomal RNA, 428 nt
Filed under: uncultured bacterium
Lineage: Bacteria
Description: bacterial SSU rRNA
Rfam family: Bacterial small subunit ribosomal RNA
Source: RNAcentral
GCGAACGCUGGCGGCAGGCCUAACACAUGCAAGUCGAACGAGCCUUCGGGCUAGUGGCGGACGGGUGAGUAACACGUGGGAACGUACCUUUAGGUUCGGAAUAACUCAGGGAAACUUGAGCUAAUACCGAAUGUGCCCUUCGGGGGAAAGAUUUAUCGCCUUUAGAGCGGCCCGCGUUAGAUUAGCUAGUUGGUGGGGUAAUGGCCCACCAAGGCUACGAUCUAUAGCUGGUCUGAGAGGAUGAUCAGCCACACUGGGACUGAGACACGGCCCAGACUCCUACGGGAGGCAGCAGUGGGGAAUCUUGCGCAAUGGGCGAAAGCCUGACGCAGCCAUGCCGCGUGAGGGAUGACGGCCUUCGGGUUGUAAACCUCUUUCAGCUCCGACGAAGCGAAAGUGACGGUAGGAGCAGAAGAAGCACCGGCCAA